GCCGGGGUAGCCCAAAGGCAGAGGCAACGGACUCAAAACCCAUACAGUGCAAGUUCAAAUCUUGCCCCCGGCA
Molecule: transfer RNA, 73 nt
Filed under: Brevibacterium sp. 239c
Lineage: Bacteria; Bacillati; Actinomycetota; Actinomycetes; Micrococcales; Brevibacteriaceae
Description: tRNA_Leu_CAA
Rfam family: tRNA
About the family: Transfer RNA (tRNA) molecules are approximately 80 nucleotides in length. Their secondary structure includes four short double-helical elements and three loops (D, anti-codon, and T loops). Further hydrogen bonds mediate the characteristic L-shaped molecular structure. tRNAs have two regions of fundamental functional importance: the anti-codon, which is responsible for specific mRNA codon recognition, and the 3' end, to which the tRNAs corresponding amino acid is attached (by aminoacyl-tRNA synthetases). tRNAs cope with the degeneracy of the genetic code in two manners: having more than one tRNA (with a specific anti-codon) for a particular amino acid; and 'wobble' base-pairing, i.e. permitting non-standard base-pairing at the 3rd anti-codon position.
Source: RNAcentral